This is a long non-coding RNA of Pseudopipra pipra, 3469 nucleotides long. RefSeq lists it as uncharacterized. The transcript has 4 exons. The record is from RefSeq and is a predicted model, not a curated record. NCBI's taxonomy places the organism in Eukaryota, Metazoa, Chordata, Aves, Passeriformes, Pipridae.
CCUACUCUGAUUGUCACAAAUUAAAUUAAUUUCCCUAAGUAAAGUCUGUCUUGCCCAUGACAGCAGUGGCUGAGUGAUCUCUCCCUGUACUUAUCUCCACCCAUGAGCCUUUUGUUAUAUUUUUCUCCCUCCCUGUCUAGUUGAGGAGGGGAGUGAUAGAGUUGCUUCAGUGGGCACAUGGCACCCAGUCAGGGUCAACCCCCCCAGUGCAUUUUGUUCAAUGUAUCUUUUUAAUAAGAAAUAUCUUUGCAAUUUCCCCUUCUGAAAAGAAAGAGAAGUGACAGCAGUUCAUCCUGUAACACCUUUUGGCCCUGUGCUCUCUUUAACAUAUACCUGAUGUUGUAGGCUGAAAGAUUUGGAUGUUGGGGGAAGUUUAUGCCAGUGUGAGUUUGUUAGAUAAAUAUUUGCACAAUAAGUGUAUGGAUGUGAAGUAGGCUGGAGCUGAGCCUGUAAACCAUCAGGAUCUCCUUUCUUUCCACAGAAUCAUAGAAUUGUUUAGGUUGGGAAAGUCCUUUAGGAUCAUCAGGUCCAACCACUAACCCAUCACUGUCAAGUCCACCACUGAACCAUGUCAGUGAAGAGGUGUUUCGGUCACAACCUGUGGAAGAUCAGAAUAUUUUGAUGGAGCAAAACAGAGUUGCUCCAGAGACCUGCUCCCAGGAACUUCAAAAGACCCUAAAAAUAGAUUUAGAAGAAGAAUUAAACACCAGAGAAAAAGGAUAAUGCUGUUUUCUGCCUCCUCUUUCUGAAGAUCUGCAGGUACAGACAGACCCAGGGCCAAGCACCUGUUUUGCCUCCAACAGGAAUGUUCAAGAGGUGCAGGCAGGUCCUCAGAGGACUCAGGAAGAUGCAGCCUGGCUGUUCCUCUGCACAGAAGUCCUUUCUCACCAGAGAAGAUGCUGUGCAACUCAUGUGAAUCUUGCACUUCAGCCACAUAUUUGUUAAAGGAAGACUCCAGGUCAUUGCGACCCACAAUUCCUCUUGAUGGCUGCUCAGAAAUCUCAGGAGCUGGGAUGUCUGCUAUGCCUGAGUCACCAUUCAUUUCUAGGUUUCUGCGGCAGGAAACAGAAAUAUUGCUUUUUCACCCUGUACUUUUGGCAUUUGGACCCCGCUUCUUCCCAAUUCUAUAACCUUUUGAAGCUGGUCUUCUGCUUCUCCUGGUCAGAAUCUUUCAGAAAAAACUGUUAUUUGUUUCCAGUCAAUGGACCCAGCACUGAAGUGCCACGAGACCCACACAACUGUUGGCAAAGGUGCCCCACAGCUGUCAGACAUGGGGGGCUGCCCCCCCAGCAGUACACAGGGGUGAUUGGGCAUUUGUCAGCCCCACAAGGCCUGUAGAGCAGGAAGAGUCUGAAUACAGAGCAAUCCUACGGCAAACUUGUCACCUCCCCAGACAGAUCAGCCUUACGGCAGAAACUGCAGAGUUGUGCUGCGACAUCAGCCACAGCUCAACGUCACUGUCUGUCACCUCCACAUUCCUGGCUUUUCUUUAAUCCUCAAACCACUGUCUUUUCCCCGAAAUGCCAGUCAAACGAGUGAUUGAAAGAGAGAUGUUUAAGUUGUAGGCAAAACUCCUCGCUCUUCAUUAACUUCCCCGCGGCGAGUUUGACACACACAUAAUACACCCACACACCACCAAACAACUUCCACGCAACUCACACAGUUUUUUUUCUAAAGGAAGAAAAAAAAAAGAAGAAAAAAGAGGCUAUUAUAUGUUUUACUACUUCAAAUACUUGUGAGACAUGUAUCUACAAGAAUUCUCCUGAUGAUCCCUGAAGGCAAUAAUAAAAAGGAGAUAAUAACACUUUUUUCUCUAUAUAAAAAAAUAUAGAAAAUUUUUUGAUUAAUUCCUAGAAUACUGUAAGUCAGAGUACAGGCUACAUCCCUGCCUCCCACAGGCAAUCAGGCGUUGGAACAAUACAGUUGAUCUAAUUGCAAUAGAGGAUAUGAAUGCGAAGUAAUAAAGCUAUCUGUCACAUUGCAGUCCAAAUGACAUGCAGUCCCUGAGAGCUUUUCUUUCCUGUUAGUCUAAAGCCAAAGACCUUUCAAAAGGGUCCAGUGGUGCUCAGUGACAGGGUCAGAGGCAAUGAGGACAAAGGGAAACGCAGGUGGUUCCCUCCGAACGUCAGGAAACAUGUUUUUGUUGAGGGUGUCUGAGCACCUGCGCUGGUUGCCUGGGGAAAUUGUGGAGUCUUCAUCCAUGGGGAUAUUCAGAAGUCAUCCAGACGUGGUCCUGGGCAACCAGCACUAGACAGCCCUGCUUGAGUAGAGGGAUGGACAAGGUGACCUCCAGACAUCCUCACCUAUUCUGUGAUUCUAUGAACUCCUGGUCCCAUUUCUUAGCUCUGUCUCUAGCAGCCUCUGUCUAUAACACCAUAUAGCAGUAUAGUGAUUAAUAAAAUAGUGCUCACUCCUGAGUGAUCAGAGCGAUUUCCAAAAUAUUCUGCUAAUCUCCUCCAGAAAGAGCUAUGGAAAUGUUUUAUCUCCUCAAAUCACACAUAAUUAAUGCAAUAGAAAAAUUCAACAAGUUAUUAUAAUUCUCCUUGGUGAAAAUCAGUCUACCUUUGAUUCACCUUUCUUUUUCUCCUUGAUCAGAGAGAGGCUUUAGCAAUUAACAUAUAUCCAUUCAGUCUUUUUGGUCAGGAACAAAAUAACCCAAACCCACCUAAAAUGGUUGAUAGAGCAUGACCACUUCCCCAUUCCUGGAGGUGUUCAAGGCCAGGCUGGAUAGGGUGUUAAACAACCUGGUCAACUGGAAAGUGUCCCUGCCCAUGGCAGGGGGCUUGGAACUAUGUGAUCUUUAAGUCUCUUCCAACCCAAACCAUCCUAUGAUUCUUUGAUUCUAAAAAGAAGUGCACGUGUGAUCAUGUGUAUGUUUUGUAGGAAAAGUAUUUAUCUGUGUUUAUAUUUUCCAGCAUGUGUGGGCCGGUCAUCAUGCCCAGAGAGAACAUAUUUUCCUGGUAUAUUUAGUUAUGCAGUGCUGUAGGCUUGGUGGGAGAAUUCAGAGCAAUUAAUCUGGGAAACUGAUGUGUGUAUGUGCUCACAUUUCCUAAUGCUGCUCUGCUUGGAAGGCAAAGGACAAAAGAGGCUCCUGUACUCACCCGUCUCUAUAAACUCUCCUAAAGACAUUUGCGCAUAAAAAAAAUUGCAUUCUGGCACCAUAAAAUAAACCAUUCUUCAGAAACAAUGUCACCCUACAAUGUGGGUAAUUCUGGUUUUCUUGCCUACUUGCUGUGAGAUGGUGAUGUAGUAUAUGGGGCAGUGAGGCUUGAGUGAAUUCAGAGCUACCCUUUCCUUGAUGCUGCCCAGAUGUCCUGGAACUGAUGGCUCCAAGCCACACACAUCACUCAGGACUCCACUGGACAUAGCCAGGCUGGAUGGCUGUGCCCUUGCAUGGAGCAGAAAUGCUAGAGGGUGCAAAGCUGGAUAAAGAAAGGAGUCUGGAAAAGUGCAGUGCUGAUCCUACUCU